This 440-nucleotide ribosomal RNA is filed under the name uncultured bacterium. RNAcentral describes it as "partial 16S ribosomal RNA". It matches the Rfam family "Bacterial small subunit ribosomal RNA", at positions 338 to 795 of the family's 1533-position model. The record is from RNAcentral.
CCUACGGGUGACUGCAGUGGGGGAUAUUGCACAAUGGGGGAAACCCUGAUGCAGCGACGCCGCGUGUGGGAAGACGGUCCUCUGGAUUGUAAACCACUGUCGCCAGGGAGGAAGAUGACGGUACCUGGGGAGGAAGCUCCGGCUAACUACGUGCCAGCAGCCGCGGUAAUACGUAGGGAGCGAGCGUUGUCCGGAUUUACUGGGUGUAAAGGGAGCGUAGGCGGGACUGCAAGUUGGGUGUCAAAUCUACCGGCUCAACCGGUAGCCGCACUCAAAACUGCAGUUCUUGAGUGAAGUAGAGGCAGGCGGAAUUCCUGGUGUAGCGGUGAAAUGCGUAGAUAUUAGGAGGAACACCAGUGGCGAAGGCGGCCUGCUGGGCUUUUACUGACGCUGAGGCUCGAUAGUGUGGGGAGCGAACAGGAUUAGAUACCCCGGUAGUC